Molecule: RNA transcript, 968 nt
Organism: Rhodamnia argentea
Lineage: Eukaryota; Viridiplantae; Streptophyta; Magnoliopsida; Myrtales; Myrtaceae
Gene name: 50S ribosomal protein L9, chloroplastic
Exons: 7
Source: RefSeq, a predicted model, not a curated record
GCCUCUCGUAUACUCUCCUCUCUCUCUCUCGGUUCGUCGUCGGAGAAAAGGAUAAGAUCACAUUGCCACGAGCAUUAAGUGGAGUCAUCAGCUGCGAAAGAGGGCGAUCGGUUCUCGAGGAUUUUUACGUCGGAAAAUGACGUCACCAGCGGCGGCGCUCUCGUGGAGUUCCUCUUCGCGGCUCUACAGUUUCGGCGGUUGCUCGAACGAGGCCUCUGAGUCGUCCGACAAGAGGUCGUUGGCCAUGGUUGUCGUUGCGCAGAAGAAGGCCAACAAAACUCGCAAGAUAAUACUGAAGGAGGACAUGGAGGACCUGGGGAAGAAAGGUCAGCUUCUGGAUGUGAAGGCUGGGUUCUACAGGAACUAUCUUCUUCCCAUGGGGAAGGCCCAGAUUGUCACUCCCUUGUUGCUCAAGGAGAUGAGAAUGGAAGAAGAAAGAAUUGAAGCUGAGAAGAAGAGGGUAAAAGAAGAAGCGCAGCAACUUGCUUUAAUGUUUGAAACUGUUGGAGCAUUCAAGGUGAAGCGAAAAGGUGGAAAAGGAAAACAAAUUUUUGGAAGCGUGACUGCUCAAGAUCUCGUAGAUAUUAUAAAGGCGCAGCUCCAGAGGGAAGUGGACAAACGAAUUGUUGUUCUUCCAGAAAUCCGGGAAACGGGAGAAUAUAUCGCAGAGCUGAAGCUUCAUCCGGAAGUGACCGCUCGAGUGAGGUUGAACGUGUUUGCCAACUGAGUAUAAGAACCCUGUUGAACCAUUUUGAGUAAUCAACUUCUAGAUGCAAUUCGCCCUGACACAUGGUGCAACUCGUGGAGUUAAAACAGAAGAUCAUAUCCGUUCGCAGCAGCCCCAUGCUCUUCAUUUCUCCUUGCAUCGUCUCAUCAAUGUGUUUGGUAGAUUUUGUUAGCUGUGGAUUGAGAUGGGUGGUUGUUUCCACCUCUCACCCUUAUAUCGGAUGCUUUGGCGCUCCUCAUUU